AUACGGAGGGUGCAAGCGUUAUCCGGAAUCAUUGGGUUUAAAGGGUCCGCAGGCGGAUUAAUAAGUCAGUGGUGAAAUCCUCUCGCUCAACGAGAGAACUGCCAUUGAAACUGUUAGUCUUGAAUUCGAUCGAAGUAGGCGGAAUGUGUCAUGUAGCGGUGAAAUGCAUAGAUAUGACACAGAACACCGAUAGCGAAGGCAGCUUACUAGACCUGGAUUGACGCUCAUGGACGAAAGCGUGGGGAGCGAACAGGAUUAGAAACCCUAGUAGUCC
This 274-nucleotide ribosomal RNA is filed under the name uncultured bacterium. RNAcentral's name for it is "partial 16S ribosomal RNA". It matches the Rfam family "Bacterial small subunit ribosomal RNA", at positions 523 to 796 of the family's 1533-position model. The record is from RNAcentral.